RNAcentral lists this ribosomal RNA (494 nucleotides) under uncultured bacterium. RNAcentral describes it as "partial 16S ribosomal RNA". It matches the Rfam family "Bacterial small subunit ribosomal RNA", at positions 28 to 507 of the family's 1533-position model. The record is from RNAcentral.
GACGAACGCUGGCGGCGUGCUUAACACAUGCAAGUCGAACGGUGAAGCGCCUUCCUUUUUGGUGGGUGUGGAUGAGUGGCGAACGGGUGAGUAACACGUGAGUAACCUGCCCCCUUCUUCUGGAUAACCGCAUGAAAGUGUGGCUAAUACGGGAUAUUCUGGGUCUGUCGCAUGAUGGGUCUGGGAAAGAUAUUGUUUCGGUGGGGGAUGGGCUCGCGGCCUAUCAGCUUGUUGGUGGGGUGAUGGCCUACCAAGGCGGUGACGGGUAGCCGGCCUGAGAGGGUGGACGGUCACACUGGGACUGAGACACGGCCCAGACUCCUACGGGAGGCAGCAGGGGGGAAUAUUGCACAAUGGGCGCAAGCCUGAUGCAGCGACGCCGCGUGAGGGGUGGAGGCCUGCGGGUUGUGAACCUCUUUCGCCAGUGAAGCAGGCCUGCCUCGUUUGUGGGUGGGUUGACGGUAGCUGGAUAAGAAGCGCCGGCUAACUACGUG